UCCCCCAGCAGAGGCCUCCUUCCCUGGGUGUCACUCCCGCAGAUCCUCCAUUUGAAGGUCGAGAAGCCACCGGGAACCAGGUCACUCUAGCUGCUGUGUGGAGAGAAGUCUGCAAGGGAGAAAAUUUUAGAGGCUAUUGCAAUAAUCUAGGAGGCUGAGUCACUUGGGCAAUGAUUCAGCCACACCCACCAUGAACUCUCAAUGACUUGAGGAGAAGAAUAGCAUGGAUAAUCUAAAAAUAAUGGACAGUGGGAGAGAACUUCAGCCCUCUCACGAACUGCAUGGAUCAUGAUUUGCUGCGAUGGGGGAGCAGCUGAUUUGCUUCAUUCAUUACAGUCUUGUCUCUGGCUGUUGUUAAAUCUACUUGUUCUUGAGAGCACCUGCAGCCAUCAUGCCAGGCUCAGUAUCACAGGGGCUGGGGAAAGAAAAUCCCUCUGGCCAGGGGUAACAGAAUAAAAAUGUAACUGAGUCCCAGAUAUACUAGUGUUUACCACCACUGCAUCUCUAAUGUAUCAACAGGACCUGGAAAGAUGGAAGUGAGUUCACUGUUCCCCCAGGGGCUAAGGUUGCUGGGAUGCUGGAGCAGAGAGAAACUUGGAGGUUUUAGAAAUGCUUUAGCUUCAGAAUGAAGGGAGCAGAGUGAUUAAUGCUGCAAGCUGCAUGGAGCGGCCAAUUGGAAAAACUAUAAAAGUCGGAACAGCACUGGAAGUGUUGACCCUGAAGACACACGCCUGGAGACGGGAUUUUUUUUUUGCACUUUUUAUUGCAGUAAUGCAGGGACUUUCUGUGAGUAGAAUCCAGGGGGCCAUCAAGCCUGUGUUCAGAUGGCUAUAAGGGAAGGGAUUUGAUCCUGCUCUGAGAAAGCUGUCUCGGGACCCAGGCAGAAAGCACAUUACUAUGUUAGAACCCUCAGUAGUUAAGAGAAAGUUCUUGGUUGAAUAGGGAAAGGAACCUGUAAAUAGCUGUAAAAUCCUGAACUAGCUGUGCCUCAUUCUGUGCUAGAUACAGCCCUGGAGGCAGAGGCCCAGAGACUUGAGGUCAAGACUCAGUUUUGCUGCUAACUUGGGCAAGUCACACCAUCUCUCUGCACUUGUUUCCUUCAUUGUGCAAUGAGAGGGUUGGACUGAAUGAUAUCUAAACUGCUCCCAGUCUCAAUUUUCUCCCAUUUGUGGAUGCUAUUUUAUGGAUAGAGAAAUCAAGACUAUUGAUAGAGACUGCAAAAGUACAGAUUUGCUCAUAACACAGAAAAUCUCAGAGAGCCGGUCAGUACCAAGGGAGAUAGAGUGGUCUGCCCUGGGCGCAAGGAGUAAGGAGGUGCAUUGUUGAUGGAGAAUUUUAAAACAAUAAUGAAACCAAGGGAAAGUCAGUCUGCUUUGUAUUAUCACCAUGGACUGACAAUUCUAAGCAAUGUCAGAGAUAAAAUACUCCUCCUCACCUGGGCGGACCACUCCCACCAUCCCCCUCCUUGGUGUGCCACUGUUUAUCUGAACAAUUCUCUUUUUAUUCGGUGCUCUUUCAGUUCCUCUGACUACAAAGGGAGAGGAGCUCACUACAGUGUUAACUCUUUCAUUGCCACCUCUUAGUGUUGAUUUGUCUCCAGUGAAGAAGAGUGAUGAGUUACUCUGAGUCACAGCAGUGGACUGGAGUGGCACCAAGGAAGCAGGGACAAUAAAAACAGAGCAUGGAGUGAGGUGUGGAAUGUUAGGAAGUGAAGUCCUGAACUUGUGGCCUGUGGACAGGGUGGGGACAGCUCCCUGAAGGCUCAGGUCAGGCUGGACGCGUGGUGCCUGAGAACAGACCGCACCAGCAUCUCAGUUCUGAUUUCUCAGCGCCCUGGCACUCUGGCUCCUUCCUGGAGCUUUCCUCUGCAGCACUUCAGAUGCAUUUCUUAGAAGUGAUCUGCUCUGUGCUCCUCAUGUCACACCACCCACCAUCCUCCUUUGGAUUGGAUUUCCUCUCCACCCUGUCCUGGUGUUUAGAAUAUGAAGGGACUCUGUCGCCCUUCUGGGGACUUGCAUAGCUUGCAUUGAUGCCUCCCUUCUGCAGGCUUGGUCCCCUUGGUGCCCAACCUUCUGCUUGAUGGUGUUGACACUCUCCAAGGAACCAUUCCUGAAAGCGGUAAACUAAUCUGUGCACAUUCUAUGGGGGUUGAUGAGCUGCUCUGGAGAGGACCAGGGAGUCUCUUAGGAAAAUGUGAAUGUGGUGGGGGGAGGAAGCUGGAGAAGGGAUGUAGAACUCGAAGAUGGAGAUCCUUGCCAAAUUAAAUAAAAAAGUUUUUUUUUUCAAAGUGAGAGUCCAGUUCGAAGCAAUUAGAUUGACAAUCAACUCAACCCAACCCAA
Molecule: long non-coding RNA, 2340 nt
Organism: Diceros bicornis minor
Lineage: Eukaryota; Metazoa; Chordata; Mammalia; Perissodactyla; Rhinocerotidae
Exons: 3
Source: RefSeq, a predicted model, not a curated record